This 253-nucleotide ribosomal RNA is filed under the name uncultured bacterium. Its description in RNAcentral is "partial 16S ribosomal RNA". It matches the Rfam family "Bacterial small subunit ribosomal RNA", at positions 524 to 776 of the family's 1533-position model. The record is from RNAcentral.
GACGUAGGGUGCAAGCGUUGUCCGGAAUUAUUGGGCGUAAAGAGCUCGUAGGCGGCUUGUCGCGUCGGCUGUGAAAACCUGGGGCUCAACCCCGGGCCUGCAGCCGAUACGGGCAAGCUAGAGUUCGGUAGGGGAGACUGGAAUUCCUGGUGUAGCGGUGAAAUGCGCAGAUAUCAGGAGGAACACCGGUGGCGAAGGCGGGUCUCUGGGCCGAAACUGACGCUGAGGAGCGAAAGCGUGGGGAGCGAACAGG